AAUGUAAUCGAUUUCAAAAACAUCAAACAUGACAAUGGCACAGAAACCUAGAAUAAGACUUUAGUGCACUGUUAUCACAGGUGUUCAUUGAGGGUUCUGGAUUUAAUUACAAAUUACAACCUUGAAUAAAAUUCCUAAUAAAUAGUUGUAUUGAACCGUACAUUGUGUCAAUACAUUGAAUUUUCCUCAACGUAUUGUUAUACGAAAAACCUAACAUACUUCAAUAUAAGCGACAGUAGUAUAGUCGUGAAGUAGAAUUCAUGAUGAAUUUUAGAAUUUUUUGUUUUAUUAUAUCGGCAUUGUAUUUGUCUACAUCGCUAAAUUUAGCAUCUGCAUCUGGCGAAGCAGGUCAAAAUUGUGUCCAAUUUGGAAUAAGAGUACCUGGCACUGUGUGCAAAGAUUUAUGUGUGAUUUCCGCUCUAUAUGGUAGUUGCAAAGGCGGAUCGAACUGUUG
Molecule: long non-coding RNA, 454 nt
Organism: Bradysia coprophila
Lineage: Eukaryota; Metazoa; Arthropoda; Insecta; Diptera; Sciaridae
Source: RefSeq, a predicted model, not a curated record